Molecule: long non-coding RNA, 436 nt
Organism: Ictalurus punctatus (channel catfish)
Lineage: Eukaryota; Metazoa; Chordata; Actinopteri; Siluriformes; Ictaluridae
Exons: 2
Source: RefSeq, a predicted model, not a curated record
GCCUUUCAGGAGUCCGCUGAGGGUUGCAACAUUGGAAAGUAAAAUGUUUAAAGGCUACCACAGUCUACCACAACAUUUGAGAAGAUGCUGUAACCUACGAAAAAAAGGUUUAGAAGCAUACCAAACGUGGAGAGGAGUCCACAGAGCGCCCAGACCACUAGGGAGAGUCCCACACUGCCUGUAUUGAUGUGCACUCCUUUGGGAGCGAUGAAGAUCCCGCUGCCAAUCAUGGUGCCCAUGAUGAAGGAGACUGCAGGCACCAGACUAAUGCUGCGUCUCAGAUGAACCCGAUCUUCCUUCCCUUCACACUCCUCUUUCUGGCUCGCCAUCUUUGCUUUAGUUCCCCUCACAACGGACAUGUCCAGCUCCUCAGAGAGAGCAGAAACUUCUGCUGUGGAGUUGAACAACAAGCCAAUACCUUUCCUCGCAGUGGAGG